Molecule: ribosomal RNA, 463 nt
Filed under: Leucophytia bidentata (two-toothed white snail)
Lineage: Eukaryota; Metazoa; Mollusca; Gastropoda; Ellobiida; Ellobiidae
Description: Auriculinella bidentata (two-toothed white snail) partial 16S ribosomal RNA
Rfam family: Bacterial large subunit ribosomal RNA
Source: RNAcentral
UCGCCCUGUUUUUUCAAAAACAUAGCCCAGGGUAACGCUCCUGGGUAGGUCCUGCCCGGUGAUAAGUUUAACGGCCGCAGUACCCUGACUGUGCUAAGGUAGCGUAAUCAGUUGGCUUUUAAUUGGAGUCGAGAAUGAAUGGGCUUAUGGGGGAGAGCUGUCUCGCUAUUUAUUGUUUUGAAGUUACUAACAGGGUGAAAAAGCCCUGCAGCAGAAAAAAGACGAGAAGACCCUUAGAGUCUUAAUAAAUUUACUGUUCGUAGUAAUGUGUUUUUGUUGGGGCGACAUUGAGGCACCAAACCCUCAAAUAAUAAAAAUAACUAGACGCAAUUAAGAAGCAAGAAAAGACUACCUUAGGGAUAACAGCAUAAUUUUAAUAUAAGUUUGUGACCUCGAUGUUGGACUAGGAACUUUACGACUAGCCGUCGAAAGAGAAGUUCGGCCGGGCACCGCGCCGCGGCCA